RNAcentral lists this non-coding RNA (20 nucleotides) under Aureobasidium pullulans. The record is from RNAcentral. RNAcentral also lists the same sequence under 22 other names. Lineage: Eukaryota; Fungi; Ascomycota; Dothideomycetes; Dothideales; Saccotheciaceae.
UCCGUAGGUGAACCUGCGGA